UAACCCCUCAAGCCUAGCUUGGUGUUGGGGCCUGCUGUUGUCGGCAGCCCUUAAAAUCAGUGGCGGUGCCAUCUAGCUCUAAGCGUAGUAAUACUUCUCGCUAUAGGGUCCUGGUAGGUGCUUGCCAUCAACCCCUAAAAUUCUAU
This 146-nucleotide unclassified non-coding RNA is filed under the name uncultured Leohumicola. Its description in RNAcentral is "sequence contains ITS2". Lineage: Eukaryota; Fungi; Ascomycota; Leotiomycetes. The record is from RNAcentral.